RNAcentral lists this unclassified non-coding RNA (338 nucleotides) under soil metagenome. Its description in RNAcentral is "partial contains 5.8S ribosomal RNA, internal transcribed spacer 2, and large subunit ribosomal RNA". The stretch from base 1 to 120 matches the Rfam family "5.8S ribosomal RNA", at positions 35 to 154 of the family's 154-position model. The record is from RNAcentral.
GAUGAAGAACGUAGCGAAAUGCGAUAAGUAAUGUGAAUUGCAGAAUUCAGUGAAUCAUCGAAUCUUUGAACGCACAUUGCGCCCGCCAGUAUUCUGGCGGGCAUGCCUGUUCGAGCGUCAUUUCAACCAUCAAGCCCCCGGGCUUGUGUUGGGGACCUGCGGCUGCCGCAGGCCCUGAAAAGCAGUGGCGGGCUCGCUGUCACACCGAGCGUAGUAGAUUUUAUCUCGCUCUGGGCGUGCUGCGGGUUCCGGCCGUUAAACCACCCUUUUAACCCAAGGUUGACCUCGGAUCAGGUAGGAAGACCCGCUGAACUUAAGCAUAUCAAUAAGCGGAGGAU